RNA transcript from Rosa chinensis, 1985 nucleotides. It is a transcript of the gene named pectinesterase 31, with no coding region annotated. The transcript has 4 exons. NCBI's taxonomy places the organism in Eukaryota, Viridiplantae, Streptophyta, Magnoliopsida, Rosales, Rosaceae. The record is from RefSeq and is a predicted model, not a curated record.
CAAAUUUCUCACCCCUCAACUGAACCCUAUUAAUCCACAACUCUUCGCUAUGAGUAGGGUACGUACCACGAUCCUCAUCGGGUUUCCCAUAAGAAGAUCAGAUCCACAACGAGACUCCAUUUCCUGCUGGCAAACGCCUUGAAAUGUCCGACUGUGUGAAAACGGUGUCACAGGACGGCUCCGGUGACUACCGCACCGUACAGGAGGCCAUCGACGCCGUGCCUCUCAAAAACACGUGUCGCAUUGUGAUUCGUAUAUCUCCCGGCAUCUACCAGCAGCCGGUGUAUGUCCCCAAGACCAAGAACCUCAUCACACUGACUGGUUUGCUUCCGGAGGAGACUGUGCUGACGUGGAACAACACCGCCACCAAAAUCGAGCACCACCAGAAUUCUGAGGUGAUUGGGACUGGGACUUUUGCAUGUGGGAGUACAAUACUGGAAGGAGAGGACUUCAUUGCUGAGAAUAUCACUUUUGAGAACUCUUCUCCUGAGGGUUCAGGCCAAGCUGUGGCAAUGAGAGUAACAGCGGAUAGGUGUGCCUUCUAUAACUGCAGAUUCCUUGGAUGGCAGGAUACCCUAUACUUACAUCAUGGAAAGCAGUAUUUGAAAGAUUGUUAUAUUGAAGGAAGUGUAGACUUCAUUUUCGGCAAUAGCACAGCUCUUUUGGAGCAUUGUCAUAUCCACUGCAAGUCGGAAGGUUUCAUAACCGCGCACAAAAGAAAUUCAUGCGAGGAGGCAACAGGAUAUGUGUUCCUAAGAUGUGUAAUCACUGGAAAUGGAGGUACUCCAUACGCAUUUCUGGGACGACCAUGGGGACCUUGUGGAAGAGUGGUCUUUGCAUUUACAUAUAUGGAUGCAUGCAUCAAACAUGUAGGCUGGAAUAAUUGGGAUAAAACAGAGAAUGAAGGAAGCGCUUGCUUUAACGAAUACAGGUGUUUCGGACCGGGUAGUUGCCCAGAAAAACGAGUGACAUGGGCUAGACAACUGGGAUGUGAGGAAGCAGACCAUUUCCUCAAUCAUUAUUACAUCGACCCAGACCCGCAAAGGCCUUGGCUUGCUCAGAGAAUGGCCCUAAGAAUACCACAUUCUGCAUAGACGUUUAAAUCAGAACUACAUGGGGAUGACUCCCAACAAAUAAUGAUAGAGAAUAUUUAGACUUCGUUUUAAGAUGAGUGAAUAAAAAAGCACGCAAUUACUGUUUCAGAAUAAGCCUUGUUCGGCAGUACUGCUGAUCAUCUAUGAUCGAACUCCCUAACAACAACUGAUGGCUGAGGAAACUCUUUGAGGCAAAUGGUGGUUGAUAACUUCUACAGACCAGAUUUGAAGAAAGCGGCCCUUGCUAGGCUCAGUGUGGUUCACAGGAGUCUCCAGGUGUCAAAAUCUGGUGCCAGGAAGAGGAAUAGGCAGGCUGUUAAUUAGAACCUACGGAAUCUCUCACCUCUCACUGACCCUAAUCCCCAAUUUGUGCAAUUUCCCUCCUCCAUGAGUAUAAUACCAGGAUCAUCAUCCGAUCGAUCUCUCGCAGAAAGAUCAUAUCUGCAACAAGACUACCUUUUUUUUGCUGGUGAGAAGGUUGACCCGGGCCAUAGAAAACACCCUCCUCACAGAACACUUGGCUCUGGCACUGAUUCUAAAGUCGAAUUAGUGGGUUCAUAUACUCCUAAUAAAUCUGAACAACCAGGUGAUUUUCUUUCAGAGGGAUAUAUAAUGGUUUGUAAGAGCUGUGGGGUUGAAAAUUGUCGCAGCGGUAUGAACCAUCCUCUUUACAUGACUUGUUCCCUUGAUAAUGAUCAAGGGAAGCACUGGCCUAAUAAUUGCCCUUCAAGAAAACUUCGUGGUCCCCUUGAUACUAUGUUAUUAAAGCAUUUAAAUACGGUUAUUAGUUCUCGAUCACUAUAUUAAGGAUAAGAGAUACUACUAUCUAGGCAACUGAAUUAUCAAUGUUUGUACAUGUUACUAUUCAGCUAUGGAUAUGAUCCUCAAGGU